UACGUAGGGUGCGAGCGUUAAUCGGAAUUACUGGGCGUAAAGCGUGCGCAGGCGGUUCGUGAUGUCUGAUGUGAAAGCCCCGGGCUCAACCUGGGAAUUGCAUUGGAAACUAGCGGGCUGGAGUGUGGCAGAGGGGGGUGGAAUUCCACGUGUAGCAGUGAAAUGCGUAGAGAUGUGGAGGAACACCGAUGGCGAAGGCAGCCCCCUGGGCUAACACUGACGCUCAUGCACGAAAGCGUGGGGAGCAAACAGG
RNAcentral lists this ribosomal RNA (253 nucleotides) under uncultured bacterium. Its description in RNAcentral is "partial 16S ribosomal RNA". It matches the Rfam family "Bacterial small subunit ribosomal RNA", at positions 524 to 776 of the family's 1533-position model. RNAcentral also lists the same sequence under 1 other name. The record is from RNAcentral.